GACGAACGCUGGCGGCGUGCUUAACACAUGCAAGUCGAACGGAAAGGCCCUGCUUUUGUGGGGUGCUCGAGUGGCGAACGGGUGAGUAACACGUGAGUAACCUGCCCUUGACUUUGGGAUAACUUCAGGAAACUGGGGCUAAUACCGGAUAGGAGCUCCUGCUGCAUGGUGGGGGUUGGAAAGUUUCGGCGGUUGGGGAUGGACUCGCGGCUUAUCAGCUUGUUGGUGGGGUAGUGGCUUACCAAGGCUUUGACGGGUAGCCGGCCUGAGAGGGUGACCGGCCACAUGGGGACUGAGAUACGGCCCAGACUCUGACGGGAGGCAGAGGGGGGGAAUAUGGCACAAUGGGCGGAGGCCGGAUGCAGCAACGCCGCGUGCGGGAGGACGGCCUUCGGGUUGUAACCGCUUUCGCCUGUGACGAAGCGUGAGUGACGGUAAUGGGUAAAGAAGCACCGGCUAACUACGUG
Molecule: ribosomal RNA, 467 nt
Filed under: uncultured bacterium
Lineage: Bacteria
Description: partial 16S ribosomal RNA
Rfam family: Bacterial small subunit ribosomal RNA
Source: RNAcentral